AACGUAGGAGGCAAGCGUUAUCCGGAUUCACUGGGUUUAAAGGGUGCGUAGGCGGGUAUGUAAGUCAGCGGUGAAAUCCCCGAGCUUAACUUGGGAACUGCCGUUGAUACUAUAUAUCUUGAAUGUCGUGGAGGUUAGCGGAAUAUGUCAUGUAGCGGUGAAAUGCUUAGAUAUGACAUAGAACACCCAUUGCGAAGGCAGCUAACUACGCGAAUAUUGACGCUGAGGCACGAAAGCGUGGGGAUCAAACAGG
Molecule: ribosomal RNA, 253 nt
Filed under: uncultured bacterium
Lineage: Bacteria
Description: partial 16S ribosomal RNA
Rfam family: Bacterial small subunit ribosomal RNA
Source: RNAcentral